CCCGCUGAGGCUGAUCUGCGGCAGGGUGCUGGUGGCCACGGUUAUUGCCAUGUUCCUCUGCGGCAGCGCGGCGGCGGACUCUCUGUUUUCACCGGCAGGUGUGCGUCUCUCGACUUCCAAAGGUGAGAAGGCCGGCUCAGCUACAUCUGCAGCGUCUAUCUGGCUCCUGGACCACCUGAGGAGGCGGAUGACUACAUUCAUGGAGGCUUCAAGUCAUUCUCAUAGCACUAGGCCACUGUCUUCAAUGUACCGAAACCCUCAUGCAUGUGCACGGCAAAGAGAAGCAGAGUGGGUCCACGGCCUCUAGAAUGGACUGUGAAAUGACAGAAAGACACAUUGUCCCAGCGUCCUGCUCGAGCAGUGUGAAAAACAGGUAGUGACAGCGAUAACAAAACAGACCGUCUCAUCUUCUCUCUCUGGGUCAACCCUCCUGCGGCUAUUUGUCACAAGAAGAUCUUUCAGGGAACCGUGACCUCCAAGUGUGGUUGCCGGGGAACGGCAGUUUGCCGCCAGUUCUGAUUGGGACCCUGCAGGACAGAGAGGGCAUGGUCAAGGUGAGCAAUACUAGCCGUGGUCCCCAGGUCAGCUAAUCUCCCACGGCAAUCUAGAAUGCAAUAGAAUGAGAGAGAGGUUUGUGAGUGGGGCGGCUUAGGACCUGACAUGGCAACGGCCAGACUGGGACCGACUUUCAGGGACGGUAUUUAGUUAUCAGGUAAACUGUCCUGGUAAAGAAGAAAAAGAAAACGAAUCACAUUGGCGGAAAUAUAUAUUCACCCCAGUCUCCUUCGAAGAUGUGAGCUUUGGUAGGAUGGAUUUGGAUGCAACAGAUACAGAUUGGUCAAAUAAAACCUAUAAUUAAAAACAACCACACCAACAAGUGGCAGAACAAGUAUCCCCUGGAGUGAAUGUUUCUUGGGCUCUAGUUAACUCGGGCCUCAUUCACUAAUAUGUGCCUCCUUUGUGCCAAAAAUCGGUGUGCAUGAUGCAAAAUAACGCCAGAUUUAUGGAACAUAGUGAAUGAGAAUUGUACGAACACAGUCAGAGCAGCGCUACAGGUUUCAGGGUACAUUUUAUCCAAUAUUUCAGUUGAUUGAUCUUUAUUGUUAGAUAAAAAUAAAAGCAAUCAGCUGUCACUUCUUGUUAAGUAUUAUUUUACUUCAGCACUGGGAACUUAUUAAAGUUUAGGGGAGAACCUUGGUUCCAGAACAUUUCUAACUUCAUGGAGGGAUUUACAAUACCAUUUAAUGAAACUGCAUACAUGCAUGUGGUCAAAUAUCUUGGUGGAGAAUAUAUUCUAUUCCACUCAUUUAUACUAUAUUUCUCAAACAUGCCUGUUUUGGCUUUGGCUAA
Gasterosteus aculeatus aculeatus (three-spined stickleback) is the source of this 1350-nucleotide non-coding RNA. The record is from RefSeq and is a predicted model, not a curated record. NCBI's taxonomy places the organism in Eukaryota, Metazoa, Chordata, Actinopteri, Perciformes, Gasterosteidae.